AAUACAACUUUUAACAACGGAUCUCUUGGCUCUCGCAUCGAUGAAGAACGCAGCGAAAUGCGAUAAGUAAUGUGAAUUGCAGAAUUCAGUGAAUCAUCGAAUCUUUGAACGCACCUUGCACUCUCUGGUAUUCCGGGGAGCACACCUGUUCGAGUGUCA
This 159-nucleotide ribosomal RNA is filed under the name Hydnellum peckii (bleeding tooth fungus). RNAcentral describes it as "5.8S ribosomal RNA". It matches the Rfam family "5.8S ribosomal RNA". Rfam says of the family: 5.8S ribosomal RNA (5.8S rRNA) is a component of the large subunit of the eukaryotic ribosome. RNAcentral also lists the same sequence under 1 other name. The record is from RNAcentral. Lineage: Eukaryota; Fungi; Basidiomycota; Agaricomycetes; Thelephorales; Thelephoraceae.